Molecule: long non-coding RNA, 529 nt
Organism: Panthera uncia (snow leopard)
Lineage: Eukaryota; Metazoa; Chordata; Mammalia; Carnivora; Felidae
Exons: 2
Source: RefSeq, a predicted model, not a curated record
CCGGCCCUUUGCUUCCUGCAGCUCCAGAUUUAAGCGGCGGUUCUCCUGUUGUGCCAUUUGGAGCUCAGCCUGAUGGGAGGUGGAAAAUAGGAGAGCGUGUGUACAAUGUCCUCUUUACAUUUUUUAUUGGCUUUGGUGCCCGGCACUCAAAAGGGCCUCAACGCAGUGGAAGAACAAUUGAGAAAGCAAACAGACUCUGAGCCCCUACCUCGCUCUGCUCCUUGUCGGCCUGUGCUUCUUUCAGUUGACCAAGAAGCUUCUCCUGUUCCCGAGUCAGGGCCUUCACGGUGUCUCUCACCCUGUACGUGGGGACAUGGAACAUCAGAUAACCCGGCUGGUCACCACAGAAGAUACGAAGGACGUGGGCUUUUGUCUUUAGCACUUUUUCUGGUGCCCCUCUGGGCCCACACCUCCUAUUGUCUCUGGGAUGCCCAAAUCCCCAGACCAAGGUGAUCUCGCUGGAAGCCCUGAGUAUCCAAGAUUCCUGGUUCUAGAGCACAGUCUAGAAAUAAACAGUUUGUUCUCUUUA